This 437-nucleotide ribosomal RNA is filed under the name uncultured bacterium. Its description in RNAcentral is "bacterial SSU rRNA". It matches the Rfam family "Bacterial small subunit ribosomal RNA", at positions 32 to 496 of the family's 1533-position model. The record is from RNAcentral.
AAUCAACGCUGGCGGCGUGCCUAACACAUGCAAGUCGCACGAGAAAGGGGCUUCGGCCCUGAGUACAGUGGCGCACGGGUGAGUAACACGUGAAUCAUCUACCUCCGAGUGGGGAAUAACCUAGGGAAACCUGGGCUAAUACCGCAUAACACUUACGAGUCAAAGCAGCAAUGCGCUUGGAGAGGAGUUCGCGGCAGAUUAGCUAGUUGGUGGGGUAAUGGCCCACCAAGGCGAUGAUCUGUAUCCGGCCUGAGAGGGCGCACGGACACACUGGAACUGAAACACGGUCCAGACUCCUACGGGAGGCAGCAGUGGGGAAUUUUGCGCAAUGGGGGAAACCCUGACGCAGCAACGCCGCGUGGAGGAUGAAGUCCCUUGGGACGUAAACUCCUUUCGACUGGGAAGAUAAUGACGGUACCAGGAGAAGAACGCCCCGG